AGGGAUGUAGCCCCGCCGCUGGCGGGGCGCUUCGUUCGGGACGAAGAGGCCGCUGGUUCGAAUCCAGUCAUCCCGACAA
This 79-nucleotide transfer RNA is filed under the name Chitinophagaceae bacterium. Its description in RNAcentral is "tRNA-Pro". It matches the Rfam family "tRNA". From Rfam's summary of the family: Transfer RNA (tRNA) molecules are approximately 80 nucleotides in length. Their secondary structure includes four short double-helical elements and three loops (D, anti-codon, and T loops). Further hydrogen bonds mediate the characteristic L-shaped molecular structure. tRNAs have two regions of fundamental functional importance: the anti-codon, which is responsible for specific mRNA codon recognition, and the 3' end, to which the tRNAs corresponding amino acid is attached (by aminoacyl-tRNA synthetases). tRNAs cope with the degeneracy of the genetic code in two manners: having more than one tRNA (with a specific anti-codon) for a particular amino acid; and 'wobble' base-pairing, i.e. permitting non-standard base-pairing at the 3rd anti-codon position. Lineage: Bacteria; Pseudomonadati; Bacteroidota; Chitinophagia; Chitinophagales; Chitinophagaceae. The record is from RNAcentral.